GACGAACGCUGGCGGCGUGCUUAACACAUGCAAGUCGAACGGAAAGGCCCUGCUUUUGUGGGGUGCUCGAGUGGCGAACGGGUGAGUAACACGUGAGUAACCUGCCCUUGACUUUGGGAUAACUUCAGGAAACUGGGGCUAAUACCGGAUAGGAGCUCCUGCUGCAUGGUGGGGGUUGGAAAGUUUCGGCGGUUGGGGAUGGACUCGCGGCUUAUCAGCUUGUUGGUGGGGUAGUGGCUUACCAAGGCUUUGACGGGUAGCCGGCCUGAGAGGGUGACCGGCCACAAUGGGAGAGUGUGGCGGGGUGGGCGCCAGCGGGAGGCAGGCGCGGCGAGUGGGGCACGAUGGGCGGAGGGCUGACGCAGGGGCGCGGCGUGGGGGAGGGGGGACUUCGGGUAGUGGACAGAUGGCGCCUGUGAAGAAGCGUGCGAGACGGUGAGGGAUAAGGAGGCAGCGGCUAACUAGAUC
Molecule: ribosomal RNA, 468 nt
Filed under: uncultured bacterium
Lineage: Bacteria
Description: partial 16S ribosomal RNA
Rfam family: Bacterial small subunit ribosomal RNA
Source: RNAcentral